AUAACCUUAUUGUGUGCCUGAAUACUAUGAUCCCAAGAUUGAAACUCAAAGGGCUUGGCUGUUCACUGUUUGAGUCAGAGGGGCAUGUAAUUUAAUACGAUGAUCCACGUUUCACCUUACCUUUCCUUGAAAGCGGGUAACCGCCCAGGUACUGCAUGGCCGUCGUAAGGAAAACAAUAAAUGCUAUCCUUAACCCUAUUAUGGAUUAAGUCAGGUGUCACGGUCCUUAUGGAAAGGGAUAUUAUGCGCUACAUUCUCCUACACAAUAUCUAUAGUAAAUUAGGAGGCAUCGACUCUCUGAAAUGGGGAUCUUAAGUUGUAUUUGAUAGUAAUCGGAAAGUAGAGCGUUCCGGUGAAUUCGAACUCAGUGUUAGCACAAAUCGCCCGUCGUCCCCUUCAAGUUAAGGAUACGAGACGCCUCGCCUUCGGCGGGGUUAUCUCUCCUUUUCGAGAGUGGGUAAGUCGUAACAUAGUAAGAGUAAGGGAACUUGUUCUUG
Molecule: ribosomal RNA, 497 nt
Filed under: Zignisis sp. C013153
Lineage: Eukaryota; Metazoa; Cnidaria; Anthozoa; Scleralcyonacea; Mopseidae
Description: partial 12S ribosomal RNA
Rfam family: Bacterial small subunit ribosomal RNA
Source: RNAcentral